GCGGGGAUAGCUCAGUUGGGAGAGCGUCAGACUGAAGUCCAACUUCAGGAAUCUGAAAAAUCUGAAGGUCGUGCGUUCGAUCCGCACUCACCGCA
RNAcentral lists this transfer RNA (95 nucleotides) under Hypoxylon rubiginosum. RNAcentral describes it as "tRNA-Phe". It matches the Rfam family "tRNA". From Rfam's summary of the family: Transfer RNA (tRNA) molecules are approximately 80 nucleotides in length. The record is from RNAcentral. Lineage: Eukaryota; Fungi; Ascomycota; Sordariomycetes; Xylariales; Hypoxylaceae.